AUGUCGAAACUAGGGGUUGAUACCCUAUUAUAAAAAUGUGUUUAAAAAUAUUUAGAUUAGUAGUAAAUAUAUUUAUGAAAUUAAAAUAAUUUGGUGGUAUUUUAGUCUAUUCAGAGGAAUUUGUUUUAUAAUCGAUAAUCCCCGAUGAAUCUAACUUAUAAUUAUUUAAUUUGUAUAUCGUUGUCAUUAGAAUAUUUUAUAAGAAUAAUAAUUUUCUGAAAAAUAAUAAUUAAUUUU
This 237-nucleotide ribosomal RNA is filed under the name Sergentomyia minuta. RNAcentral's name for it is "partial small subunit ribosomal RNA". The record is from RNAcentral. Lineage: Eukaryota; Metazoa; Arthropoda; Insecta; Diptera; Psychodidae.